CCCUUAGAUGUUCUGGGCCGCACGCGUGCUACACUGAGUAAUUCAAUGGGUAAGGGAACGCUAGAGCAUUACCUAAUCUUGAAAUUUGCUCGUGAUGGGGAUCGACUGUUGCAAUUUUCCGUCGUGAACGAGGAAUACCUUGUAGGCGCAUGUCAUCAUCAUGCGCCGAAUACGUCCCUGCCCUUUGUACACACCGCCCGUCGCUCCUACCGAUUGAGUGAUCCGGUGAGGCUCUGGGACCUGGACGGAAAGAGCGUUUCGCUUGUUCUGUUUGGGAAACUUGGUCGAACCUUAUCAUUUAGAGGAAGGAGAAGUCGUAACA
This 322-nucleotide ribosomal RNA is filed under the name uncultured eukaryote. RNAcentral's name for it is "partial 18S ribosomal RNA". It matches the Rfam family "Eukaryotic small subunit ribosomal RNA", at positions 1470 to 1796 of the family's 1831-position model. The record is from RNAcentral.